GAUGUAAAGACAGAGGCAGAGAUUAGAAUACUGGGGUAGGCACCAGAAGCUGGAAGAGUCCAGAAAGGGAUUCUUUCUUAGAGCCCCUGGAGGGAAUGUGCCCUGUCAACAUUUUGGUUUCAGACUUCAGGCCUUCAGAACUGUGAGAGAAUAAAUUUCUGUUGUUUUAAGCCACCAAGUCUGUGGCAAUUUGUUCCAGCAGGCUACAGGAAAGUAAUACACUCCAGUCAAGCAACUCUCUGACUGAGGCACUAAGCAAUGUCGCCCAGCUCCACGAUGUUCGCAAAGGUCCUGCACCACCACCACCACCCACACUUCCCUGAAGGGAGAAGAGCUUUGUCAAAAGAUUUCCCGGUAAAUCAAAAGCACUUUGUGGAUAGGAAUAGUGUGGACCGUGCCUGAAUGAGACCUAGUUAUGUAUGUGGUGCUCUCCAAAAUGAGUUCUUGCUGGCGCCAGUCAAUCAAAUACCUAAACCCCUAAAUGAAUGAGGAAGUUUGAGAAACUGCUGUAGUAACUAGGUUAAGUUAAACAAAUACACCCAAGUUUUGCAUAGUUCUGUAUUCCUCCAAUCAAAAUAAAAUUUUCACAGCUUAGCUGCCCAAAUAUACUUGUGGCGCUAUCCUUCUUGAGGUCACGAAAUGACAUUCCUGCUAUGUGCUCUGUGCUGUGAAUACUGUGAUAACUCUACGAUUUCACAGACAUUUUCAGGGGUUUUAUGAUUCUGUGUCAGACCCUGUGAAAAGUCAGGGGAAAGAAAGACAAUGAAAAUAAUACAUUGCCCAGUCUUUUUUGUUUGUUUGUUUUUGUUUUUUUUGUUUUUUGUGUUUUUUUUUUUUUUUAGAGAUGGAGUCUCG
Molecule: long non-coding RNA, 855 nt
Filed under: Homo sapiens (human)
Lineage: Eukaryota; Metazoa; Chordata; Mammalia; Primates; Hominidae
Description: HSALNT0271148
Source: RNAcentral